UUAAUUUGUGGCAUACAUCCACAUGGGGAUAUUGCUUAUUUGAAGCAUCUGUCCAACAAGCUGGGGAGAAUUUACCAGAACAUUUGAACUUGAUCAGUAAGCUGCUUGAGCUGGGAGUUGUAGAACUAUUUGCCACAUGAGAAAUUACUUCCACAUUACUAUAUGCUCACUGUGAUAAGUACCACUAGGUUACCACUCCUGAAGAGGAAAGACGGGUUUCACCAUCUGGCUUAUGCUUAAAUAAGAAGUAUGUGUGCAAACAAUGGUUUUAAGGGUUUUUGGCAGUCUGUGAGUGCAAAAUUCUAACAGUCAAAUCCAGCGAUCAGUUAAGCAUGCUGUUUGGUUGAAUUAAUAUGAUUUAAUGUGAUUUACCACCACUGAAGUCAAUUAGACUUGGAAAUACAAGUACCCUGACCCAGUUGGCUUGAGGAUUUCAAGAAUGCCAAACAUUUAAUACAAUUUAAAUUGUUCUCUAAUGACUGGACAUGUUUUCAUCAUAGGUUCAUUUGGACUCAAUAAGCUCAAGUACUGCAGUGAGAAUAAUAUUAGCAGCUGUGACUGAUGUGUAAUGAAACUGUAACUGUGUAGAGCCAGAUUAAAGCUCAUAAGUGAUCUAGGCUUCCUGGUCCAAGCUCUAAACUCAGGAGUUUUGAGAUCUGAGCCACCCCUGCCAGAAGCUUCUUCUGUCCUUCUUAAGGUGUAUGCAAAUCCACCCGAAUGAGAGUUCACAGCUUAGAGAGCUGUAAAAUCAGCACUGCAAGCGGUUUGGUGUGCAAAGGGCAAGAAAACUGCCCAAAAGACUGACUUUACCGCACCAUUUUGCCUGCUGCUGUUUUUGCUACUUGCAAAAUGCUGCUGUGGCUGAUUUGAGAAUAUCAGUAAACACAUGCCUCUUGAUGAACAUACGGCAGUAAGUUUUCACUACACAGGACUUCAGGAGAAAUUUCACAUCUAGAGCUGAUUUUCACUCCCUGUGUACUCAGUAAAGAGGCAGCAACUAAGCAGCAGAAUUAAUUUCGUGGUAUGUAGAUAUGGUGUAUUGCAAAGGAACUGAUCAAUAGCCUACAUCUUUCAUGUUCUCUUUUACUAUUUUUGCCAUAUUUGGUGCAUACUGUGUGUCAAAUGAAAUCAGUCUAGUAUGGAUAGCCUGUGGGAGCAGCAGUGUUUAUGACCUACCAAGUAGCUUGUCUGUGUUUGUUGAUGGAUAAGCCUAAUCAGAUACCAGGCCACUGAGUCUCAACAGCUCAGUGUUUAAGGAUAUAUUCCAGUCUAUUUAAUAUUCAGGUUGAGACCAUUCCUGAAAGACUUUUUUUCAUAAAAGAUUAAGGAGGCAAUCCUAGGCACACUCACUUGGGAUUAAAACAAAGAACUGGAGCCGUCAACAUUUUGUCACAAAUACCUUAUAUAGUAAGACCAUUCACUGAAUUCAGUGAGCAAAGAUAUCUGUAAUUGAUUCAUGUUGGAAGAUAAAGCUGUGAACAGCUACCACUGACCAUUAUGGUUAUGAAUUACUUCCAGUAUGAGAGGCAAUAUGCUGAGGAUCUGGUUCUGUUGCCCUAACGGUCUGUUGUUGACUUCUCAUAGACCUCUGGUUUGCUGCCCUGUAAGCAGAAUGCUGGAUUAGAUAGAGUGGAGCUAUCGCCUUCUGACACGACAGCCCUAGCGCGCUUUGCCCGCACAACAGCCCUGUGGGAUAGAUUGUGCUGUGUGGUUAUGACAGCCCUGAACGCCUAAUGAAAAUGAGACUCUCGGUUUGACAAUUGCAACAAGCUGUACGUGGGGCUGCCUUGGCAGACAGUUUGGAAAUUACAGCGGGCUCAGGAUAACCCUGCCAGGCUGUUGGCAGAGACCUGUUAUUUGGAGCAUGCAGUUAUGUUGCUGUUUAAUCUUCAUUGCCUGACCCAGAGCAAAGUGCCAGUUAUAACUUUUAAAGAUAUAUAUGGUUUCAACUUGGCAUUUUUAAAGAGCUGUCUGCUCCUACUUCUCUAUGCACCCCUUUUAGAUCUUUUAAUAGCACACUAAUGUUUGAGGUGAUUGUGGUACUGAGGCUCUGGAUUUCUGUGCAUGCAAAACUCCUUUAUCCUUUUCUCAGUUUUCAAACAGGUGAUUAAAAGUUGCAAUCUUAUUUAUUUAUUUAAAACUUUUGUAUACCGUCAUAUCACAGAUGUCUUGGGACAGUUCACAAUCUUACACAUGUUGAGAUGGGAGGAGUCCUACAGUUCCCAGCAUUCUCCAGUCAACUGUGCAUACGAUUGCACUGUAGAACAGUUUUGUUUCUCUAGAAUUUCAGUGUUUUGUUUAUGCUACUCCUAUUUUAGGUCAUUUGUUUUAAAACUGGUUUAAUUGCAGUUGUGAGACACUUGGGAGGGCAUGGGGACUGAAAAGCUGCAUAUAAAUAUUUAUAUAAACAAAUGAGUGGGAAUUUGACCCUGGAUCUCUGUGAUUCUAACCCAGCAUUCUAGCAUUAUUUUAGCCCUACACAGUCUUGGGAAGUCACCAUCUCCCUUGAUCCCUCUGUCAUUGUCAGCUUGUGGAAGUGACAGUCUAAAGAGGAGAACCUCUGUCCUUGGAGGCUGUCCUCAUUAGCCAGAAAAACAUGGAAAAAUCUGUAUUCUGGCUCAUAUGGAGGGCCUCCAUCGAUUGGGCCAGACCGAUUGGGCCAGACACUUUUGUCACUUGUUAGAAACAUACACACACACAUACACAUACAGCAGGAGUCUCAAAACUUUCUUGGUCCAUAGGCACAUUUGGGAAUUUGAAAAACUGCUGUGGGCACUUCCACUGAAUGCCUAAUCAGUGGAUCACACUUGGAUGUCUACCUGACACAUCUAUGGAUUUUAGGCUGCAUUUUAUUCAGCAAAAAAUGUUUGUUUUAUAUUUAGUGGCCACUACAACAUAAAAGGGAUCAUCUAACUCAACUAAUUGCUAGCAGCGUUAUGCAGCUAAUGCUUCUUUUAAACAUUGCUGCUUCUAAACAGUGCUGUAUAUCUAAUGCUUCUUUAAAAGAUACUUUUUUGCAAUGUAUGCUAAUUGCUUCUUUUUGGGAAGAGGUUAUUGCACAGAUAAAAUCUGUACUGGAGCAGUCUUUAAUAUUCACUAAUGUGCACCCUUUUAAAAUUCUUAAAUUAUUAUUUAUUUUAAAUUAAAAUGGAAGGGAAACUGAUUUUUUGCACCUUUCUGACACCUAAAAGACUUAUUAAAGAGUGGAAGGAUAAACACUCACUUUUUAUAAUACUGGACUGAGGACCUUACAACAUUUCAGAUGCAUGAAUGGGUCGUUUAUAGAUGCCAGCUUCAAGUGGAUAUAUGGUCAACUUUUAUUGAAGCCUAUGUAUAAUGGCUAGGAAGUUGUAUACCUUUCACAUGUAUUCACUGCUAUGGAUAUAUAGAAAUCCAUGUAUGUGGAAUAAGGAAAAAAAAUGGGGGAAAUUUAAAAGCAUUUUUUAAAAUAUUGGGAGCCCAUGGGCACCAUGUUGGGGACCUUAGCAUGCAGUAUGUCUCUUAACUGCAGCAUGGUAUUUGGAUAACAGCUCAGAUAGGACCACUCUUAGAGAUGGAAGCCUCUGAAAUUACAGUACCAGCUGUCAUCACUAAAGUCCCUGCUGCUCCGAACAAAAGCAGGACACCUGUGGCUCCCCAGUUGCUCUUGGCCACUAAUGUCCACCAGUGCCAGCUAGCAUAACCAGUGGGUAGGAUGAUGGGAGCUGUAAUCCAGUAACUUCUGAAGGGCCACUGGUUCUUCCUUGCAUACAAUAUCCUUAAUGUGUGAUAUAUCAUUGUUGUGAGACACUAAUGGUACAGUCAAUUAAUUUGUGAUUGGUUCAUCUCGACGACAGAAAUGGCCCCAGAGCUCAGCCUUGCUAUACAGUGUUGCAACCUACUGGUGAAUAAUUUCUCUGUUUUUACUCACUAUUUAUCUAACCCUGACUCAAGGCCAGUGACCUUUUGCUGUUUGGCAAUCUCAGUUCUCCCAGUGGACCUGUGAACUUCAACACUGUUCCAUCUUCCCAUGGCAGUAUGAGACCAUAAGCAAAGCCAUGCUGGAUCAGACCAGUUGUCUGUGUAGUCCAGCAUGCCAUUCACAUGGUGGCAAACCAGCUGCCUACAGGAUCACUCAGGAUGGGUGCAAGUUCUCAGUUCUACCUGCCCAAAUUCGACCUGCCCAAGCUGGCAUAUGCAGGCAUGGUCCCUCUCCUCUGAUAAUGGAGACAGCACACAGCAAAAAAGGCUAGUAGCCAUUGAUAACUUCUUCUUCACAAAUUUGUCCAAUUGCUUUUAAUACCCUGUAAAUCACUGGCCAUCACUACUUCCUGCAGCAGUGAAUUCUAUUGUUUAUGUGUUGGAUGAAGAAAACUUUUUAUCUGUGCUGAAUCUUCCGCUCAUUAGCUUCAUGGGAUGAUCCUGGCUUCUACUAAUCAUUUAUGUAUAGGUGGAAAAGCAUUGGUUCUAAUACAGAACCCUGUUGGAUCCCACUUUUUAUCUCUCUCUAUUGGGAGAAAUUGCCAAUUUAUCCCCACUCUCUGUCUUCUGUUCUUCAACCAGUUGCUGAGUCAUAAGAGGACCCCUCUCUCCAUAUAUUCCAUGAUUGUUGUAGCCCGCCACAAACCAGAUGCCCUACCAAUGCUUUUGACUACAACUCCCAUGAUCCCUGACCAUUGGCCAUGAGGGGUAGGUCUGUUGGGAGCCAAAGCUCAGAACAUCGGAGGCCACUGUGCUAGGCAAGCCUGCUGUGGGGAAGUGGUGCCAAAGGUUUCAUAAGAUGGAUUGCACCAUCUGGGAAGUGUCCAGCAAGCCACCUGUUCUGGGAAGCCGUUCCAAGAAGAGAGAGAGGCUGGACUGAGCUGAGGACAGCAGCCAGGUCAGGCAGCGUCCCGCUGGAUUCAUGGCCCUAAGUGGUGGUUUUCUGCUUCUGCCAGCUACUUUCCCUUUUGUUAUUGUCCUCCAUGAGUCUUGCCUUCUCGUGAUGUGCCCAAAAUAUGACACUUUCAGUUUUGUCACUGUGCUCUCUGGCUUGAUAUGAUUUAGGACUCACUUGUUCAUCUUUCUGACUGUCCAAGGAACUCAAAAAGCUGUCUUCCAGCACUAUAUUUCAAGUACAUCAUUUUUUUUCUGCCAGCUUGCUUCGCUGUCCAGCUUUUAUGGGAAUGCAAUAGCAUGGAUGAUCUCGGCCUUGGUCUCCAGUGAAACAUCCUUACACUUGAUUAGCUUUUCUAGUUGUUUCAUCACCGCCUUUCUGAGUCUCAAGUUUUCUAAUUUCUUAGCUUUAAUCUUGCUCUGAAUUGAUGACUGGGCCAAGGUAAGUAAAAACUUUUAUAAUUUUCAUUACUUCACUGAUGAUGGUAAAGUUCUGUAAUUCUUCUGUAGCCAUGAUCUUUAUUUGCUUGCUGUUAAUCUGCAGUCCUGCUUUUGCACUUUCUUCUUUCACUUUCAUCAGGACUUGUUCCAGUUCAUUGCUGUUUUCUGCCAGUAGUAUGGUAUCAUUUGCUUAUCUUAAAUGUUUGAUUUAUCUUCCACCAAUUUCACUCCUGCGUCCUCUGAUUCUAAUCCAGUUUUCCAUAUAAUAUGUUCUGUGUACAUACUGAACAUAUAGGGAGGUAAAAUGCACCAUUUUCUGAUGCCUUUUGCUGUAAGAAACCAUUCUGUUUCUCCAUAUUCUGCCAUAACUGUAGCUUCUCGUCCACAGAAUAGGUUACAUAUAAGGGCAAUCAAAUGCUGAGGCUCACCCAUUUUUUUUCCAGGACCAUGCCUAGCUUCUUGUGAUCCAUGCAAAGGAUUUGCUGUGGUUUAUAAAGCAUAGAUUGAAAUUUUGACAUUCUUUGGUGUGCUCCGGUAUCCAGCAUAUUUUUGUGCCCUGAGUGCCUCUUCUUUUUUUGCAAUCCAGCUUGAACUUCAGGCAUUUCAUUCCAUAUAGGGUCAUAUUCUUUCAACGCCUUAAGCAUCACUUGGCUUACAUGGGAGAUCAAUGCAAUGAUCUCAGGAUUGCUGCACUCCAUAGCAUCUCCUUUCUUGGGGAUUGGAAUGUAUAUUGAAUGUUUCCAGUCUGAGGACCAUUCUUCUGUUUUUCAUAUUUCUUGGCAUAGUCUUGUUGGGAUUUGUACUAAUUCAGUCUUUGUGAAUUGGAAUAAUUCUUUGGAAGUCUACCUGCUCUGGGUGCUUUAUUCCUUCUAAGUACUUUCAGAGCAACUUUCAUUUUUCUUUCUAAUAUUGCAGGCUCUUCUUCAUAAGCUUCCUUUUGAAGGAGUUUCUUAUCCUUUUAUCUCUUCGGUAUAGUUCUUUCCGGUAUAAUUUCAACCUUCUCUUUAUUUUCAUUUGACCUUCUAGGAUGUUCCCUUUUAGUUUUUUAGCACCCCUCAUUUAGGUUCGAAUUUCCCUGUGAUUUCUUGGGUCUUCUGUAAGAGGUCUCUUGUUUUUUCUCUUUUUUUGUUCUGUUCUACAUUUUGCCACAUUUUUAGAGCUGCUGAAAAGUUGCAUUCAGGAUUCUGACUAUAUUCUUGAAACCUUUUGCCUUUGCUUCAUGUUUGUCCAUAGUAAUUUCAAAUUUUUUAUCUGUCAUUAAUCUAGAUUUUUCUUUGCUUUUGCUACAAUAAGUUUAGUCUUUUUGCAUUCUUUCCUAAUAAUGUC
Varanus komodoensis (Komodo dragon) is the source of this 6621-nucleotide long non-coding RNA. RefSeq lists it as uncharacterized. The transcript is spliced from 3 exons. The record is from RefSeq and is a predicted model, not a curated record. NCBI's taxonomy places the organism in Eukaryota, Metazoa, Chordata, Lepidosauria, Squamata, Varanidae.